Molecule: ribosomal RNA, 253 nt
Filed under: uncultured bacterium
Lineage: Bacteria
Description: partial 16S ribosomal RNA
Rfam family: Bacterial small subunit ribosomal RNA
Source: RNAcentral
UACGUAGGUGGCAAGCGUUGUCCGGAAUUAUUGGGCGUAAAGCGCGCGCAGGCGGUCCUUUAAGUCUGAUGUGAAAUCUCGCGGCUCAACCGCGAGCGGUCAUUGGAAACUGGGGGACUUGAGUGCAGAAGAGGAGAGUGGAAUUCCACGUGUAGCGGUGAAAUGCGUAGAGAUGUGGAGGAACACCAGUGGCGAAGGCGACUCUCUGGUCUGUAACUGACGCUGAGGCGCGAAAGCGUGGGGAGCGGACAGG